GACGAACCACACGAACGUUAUUCGGAAUUACUGGGCUUAAAGGGUGCGUAGGCUGUGCAGAACGUUAGGUGUGAAAUCCCCCGGCUCAACCGGGGAAUUGCGCUUAAAACUACUGUGCUAGAGGAAGACAGAGGUGAGCGGAACUUCGGGUGGAGCGGUGAAAUGCGUUGAUAUCCGAAGGAACACCGGUGGCGAAAGCGGCUCACUGGGUCUUUUCUGACGCUGAUGCACGAAAGCUAGGGGAGCAAACGGG
This 253-nucleotide ribosomal RNA is filed under the name uncultured bacterium. RNAcentral describes it as "partial 16S ribosomal RNA". It matches the Rfam family "Bacterial small subunit ribosomal RNA", at positions 524 to 776 of the family's 1533-position model. The record is from RNAcentral.